Molecule: microRNA, 20 nt
Filed under: Ciona intestinalis (vase tunicate)
Lineage: Eukaryota; Metazoa; Chordata; Ascidiacea; Phlebobranchia; Cionidae
Description: cin-miR-4000h-5p
Source: miRBase by way of RNAcentral
UGAAACUUGCUUAGUACGGG